CCAGACUCCUACGGGAGGCAGCAGUGGGGGAUAUUGCACAAUGGGGGGAACCCUGAUGCAGCGACGCCGCGUGGGUGAAGGAGUAUUUCGGUAUGUAAAGCCCUAUCGGCAGGGAAGAAGCAAGACGGUACCUGACUAAGAAGCCCCGGCUAACUACGUGCCAGCAGCCGCGGUAAUACGUAGGGGGCAAGCGUUAUCCGGAUUUACUGGGUGUAAAGGGGGCGCAGACGGCGAUGCAAGCCAGGAGUGAAAGCCCGGGGCCCAACCCCGGGACUGCUCUUGGAACUGCGUGGCUGGAGUGCAGGAGGGGCAGGCGGAAUUCCUGGUGUAGCGGUGAAAUGCGUAGAUAUCAGGAGGAACACCGGUGGCGAAGGCGGCCUGCUGGACUGCAACUGGCGUUGAGGCCCGAAAGCGUGGGGAGCAAACAGGAUUAGAUACCCUUGUACAG
RNAcentral lists this ribosomal RNA (448 nucleotides) under uncultured bacterium. RNAcentral describes it as "bacterial SSU rRNA". It matches the Rfam family "Bacterial small subunit ribosomal RNA", at positions 331 to 793 of the family's 1533-position model. The record is from RNAcentral.